UGGAGAAGGCAGGGGAAAAGAAUCUCACUGUGAACCGCUGACCAUUACUGAGUUAUUCUGGCAUAUCACGAACUUUGAUGUAGUUGAGACAUUGACUUACAGAGGACUUCAACGCUCAUGUGGGGAAUGAUGGAGAUACCUGGAGGGGAGUGACCUCCCUGGUCUGGACCCGAGAGUUUAAUCAGCAGAAACCUAAAGACUAAAAUAUAUACUUCAGGGAGAAGGAGGAGGAAGAGUGCUUUUUGGGUUGUGCAUGGAUGUGGUUUUGAACAAUGCAGCAAGUAAGUGGGAGUCAUAGAAACAGUGUCAUCCAUAGCAAAAACAGAGCACUGUU
Molecule: long non-coding RNA, 334 nt
Organism: Chelonia mydas (Green sea turtle)
Lineage: Eukaryota; Metazoa; Chordata; Testudines; Cheloniidae
Exons: 3
Source: RefSeq, a predicted model, not a curated record